UAAAAUAGUGCGAAUCCUUCCAAAUGUUUAGUCUCAUAGCUUAAUUUUUCUUGGUUUAAACUCGUUUCAGUCUUAACAAGUUGCUAGUAUGUCUUUGUUGUUGUACACCUGAAUCUGCCAAGUCGAACAUAUUGUCGUGUUUGCGUUGUCCUACCCAAGUGUCCGUCCCUCUGUUUGUUGUGGGCUGUUAUUUGUUAUUGUCUUUAAAAUCACAGCAAUCUCAGAAUCAGUAGAUGUGGCAGUAGCAUGUUGUUUAUUAUGUUUCUGGAUUUGAUAAUUUCCUUUCCUCUUCAUUUGAGUCUUGUUACAAUCUUAUGGUCCAAUGUGUCAUGUUAGAAUUGAGCUUGUGUUGUCUCUGUUUCAUUUAGAUUCCCGUCAAAAAUCAUUUGCUACUCGUAGUGGACUUAAGGUCAAGGACGAGAUUUUGUUGCCUUCCAAACCUUGGCUCGUUCCAACACUCGUUUUCCUUUAACCGAAUGCCUAACCGUGAGCUUUAAAUUAGAUGCCCAGUAUUUGGUUUAAUUUAGAUUAUUAGGCUGCAAAAAUAUGAUAGUUAUCUAAAUAUGUGCUAAGACUACAUUGAUCUAUGUGCUUAACCGUUAGACUUAAAGGCUCUCAACGUGGUUAUCACACCAAUUUGUUUAGAACAUGAAUUUGUAACUGAUAAGCUUGCUGCAGUUCUGCCUCUCUUUAUGGCCUCUUCGUUUUCCUUUUAUUUCUUACUUUGGAUAGUGUAUGAAAUGACAAAGUUGCUUUCCAUUUCCUUAUUUUAGUUUUAGCUUUUUUUCAUUGUAAUAAAUGUCUCUCCAUGCCAAGUUCUCUUAAAUCAUUUAUAUGGUAUUAAUUUUCUUUUAAUAUGCAUUUGCCAAUAUCUGUAAUCAAGGACAAUCAACCUUGGAUUGGCUACUGAUACGUUUUUUUAAUCCAAAAGCAUUGCCUUGUGAUUUUCUUUUACAAUGGCAUUAUAGUUGAGUUUUUUUUUGUUUUGUUUUGAAUUAUUUUGCUAGAUAUGUGUCGGACUAACCCUCUUAUCACUCUUUCUUUGCAUGUGAAAUCUGCCCCGAGUCCAUUUUGGACUCUCAUUUCCUAUCCUUGCAUCUCCUCGUUGGUCCAAAGGCCCAACCUUACCCCUUAUCGAGUCAGCCAAAGCAAUAGAACGGAAAUACAGGGCUGGAAACCCAGAUAAAGGCUUCCAAAAGUCCUAAGAUGGACAAUAUACGUUCAAUAUACGCUAUAUGCUGCUGUAUACACUUAUAUACAGGUCAAGAACGCAAAAAUACAGGGCUAAGGCGAAAUACAGUUAUUCGGAAGCAAGAAAUACAUGAAAAGGGCUGAUAUACAUGCCGAUAUACACUGAUAUACAUCAGCGGUAUACCAAAAACGGGAUUGAGUAAAUCCCCAGAAAUUACAGUGAAAUUGGCCCAAAAAGGAGGCCCAAAUUCAAUUUCUAACUUAUUUAAUUGUGUGAUUAUUUAUUUAUUUGUUUUUUU
This 1490-nucleotide long non-coding RNA is filed under the name Solanum tuberosum (potato). Its description in RNAcentral is "long non-coding RNA (STUB_LNC001277)". Lineage: Eukaryota; Viridiplantae; Streptophyta; Magnoliopsida; Solanales; Solanaceae. The record is from RNAcentral.